GGUUCCAUAGUUUAGCAGUUAGCACGUCUGCUUUACACACAGAAGGUCCUGAGUUCACGCACCAGUGGAGCCA
This 73-nucleotide transfer RNA is filed under the name Pteropus alecto (black flying fox). It matches the Rfam family "tRNA". From Rfam's summary of the family: Transfer RNA (tRNA) molecules are approximately 80 nucleotides in length. Their secondary structure includes four short double-helical elements and three loops (D, anti-codon, and T loops). The record is from Rfam by way of RNAcentral. Lineage: Eukaryota; Metazoa; Chordata; Mammalia; Chiroptera; Pteropodidae.